GCCUGGAUAGCUCAGUUGGUUAGAGCGGGGUGCUGAUAACGCCAAGGUUACAGGUUCGAUCCCUGUACAGUGGUAUCUCGGGUU
This 84-nucleotide transfer RNA is filed under the name Podarcis lilfordi (Lilford's wall lizard). Its description in RNAcentral is "tRNA.Ile". The stretch from base 8 to 66 matches the Rfam family "tRNA", at positions 8 to 63 of the family's 71-position model. From Rfam's summary of the family: Transfer RNA (tRNA) molecules are approximately 80 nucleotides in length. Their secondary structure includes four short double-helical elements and three loops (D, anti-codon, and T loops). Further hydrogen bonds mediate the characteristic L-shaped molecular structure. tRNAs have two regions of fundamental functional importance: the anti-codon, which is responsible for specific mRNA codon recognition, and the 3' end, to which the tRNAs corresponding amino acid is attached (by aminoacyl-tRNA synthetases). tRNAs cope with the degeneracy of the genetic code in two manners: having more than one tRNA (with a specific anti-codon) for a particular amino acid; and 'wobble' base-pairing, i.e. permitting non-standard base-pairing at the 3rd anti-codon position. The record is from RNAcentral. Lineage: Eukaryota; Metazoa; Chordata; Lepidosauria; Squamata; Lacertidae.